Long non-coding RNA from Colossoma macropomum (tambaqui), 203 nucleotides. RefSeq lists it as uncharacterized. NCBI's taxonomy places the organism in Eukaryota, Metazoa, Chordata, Actinopteri, Characiformes, Serrasalmidae. The record is from RefSeq and is a predicted model, not a curated record. The transcript has 3 exons.
GGGAAUGCAGUUGGACCGGGCCAUACCUGACAAAUGCACACAUGUAAGUUGUUAGCCCGAUGUUUACGUCACAACAAACAGAACGUGAAUUGGGUGUGUUUUCAUCCAUCGGGUUGAGGCAAAUACAUUAAAAGCUGGACAUGCCGCACCGAUAACGCGAUGGUACUGUCGGACUACACUCUGUGGAUCAGGGCCUAAGAAGA